Molecule: ribosomal RNA, 275 nt
Filed under: uncultured bacterium
Lineage: Bacteria
Description: partial 16S ribosomal RNA
Rfam family: Bacterial small subunit ribosomal RNA
Source: RNAcentral
CCACGUAGGGCGCAAGCGUUGUCCGGAUUUAUUGGGCGUAAAGGGCUCGUAGGCGGUUUCGUAAGUCGGGUGUGAAAACUCAGGGCUCAACCCUGAGACGCCACUCGAUACUGCGAUGACUUGAGUCCGGUAGGGGAGCAGGGAAUUCCUGGUGUAGCGGUGAAAUGCGCAGAUAUCAGGAGGAACACCAUUAGCGAAGGCGCUGCUCUGGGCCGGUACUGACGCUGAGGAGCGAAAGCAUGGGGAGCAAACAGGAUUAGAUACCCUAGUAGUCC